UCCAGACUCCUACGGGAGGCAGCAGUGGGGAAUAUUGCACAAUGGGGGGAACCCUGAUGCAGCGACGCCGCGUGAGUGAAGAAGUAUUUCGGUAUGUAAAGCUCUAUCAGCAGGGAAGGUAAUGACGGUACCUGACUAAGAAGCCCCGGCUAACUACGUGCCAGCAGCCGCGGUAAUACGUAGGGGGCAAGCGUUAUCCGGAUUUACUGGGUGUAAAGGGUGCGUAGGUGGCAGGGCAAGUCAGAUGUGAAAGCCCGGGGCCCAACCCCGGUACUGCAUUUGAAACUGUCCGGCUGGAGUGCAGGAGAGGUAAGCGGAAUUCCUAGUGUAGCGGUGAAAUGCGUAGAUAUUAGGAGGAACACCAGUGGCGAAGGCGGCUUACUGGACUGUAACUGACACUGAGGCACGAAAGCGUGGGGAGCAAACAGGAUUAGAUACCCGAGUAA
Molecule: ribosomal RNA, 446 nt
Filed under: uncultured bacterium
Lineage: Bacteria
Description: bacterial SSU rRNA
Rfam family: Bacterial small subunit ribosomal RNA
Source: RNAcentral